UGAACUGGCUUCACAGUUGCAUACAAUGCUU
RNAcentral lists this non-coding RNA (31 nucleotides) under Rattus norvegicus (Norway rat). Lineage: Eukaryota; Metazoa; Chordata; Mammalia; Rodentia; Muridae. The record is from RNAcentral.